Molecule: ribosomal RNA, 495 nt
Filed under: uncultured bacterium
Lineage: Bacteria
Description: partial 16S ribosomal RNA
Rfam family: Bacterial small subunit ribosomal RNA
Source: RNAcentral
GACGAACGCUGGCGGCGUGCCUAAUACAUGCAAGUAGAACGCUGAAGGAGGAGCUUGCUUCUAUGGAUGAGUUGCGAACGGGUGAGUAACGCGUAGGUAACCUGCCUGGUAGCGGGGGAUAACUAUUGGAAACGAUAGCUAAUACCGCAUAAUAGUAGAUGUUGCAUGACAUUUGCUUAAAAGGUGCAAUUGCAUCACUACCAGAUGGACCUGCGUUGUAUUAGCUAGUUGGUGGGGUAACGGCUCACCAAGGCGACGAUACAUAGCCGACCUGAGAGGGGGAUCGGCCACACUGGGACUGAGACACGGCCCAGACUCCUACGGGAGGCAGCAGUAGGGAAUCUUCGGCAAUGGACGGAAGUCUGACCGAGCAACGCCGCGUGAGUGAAGAAGGUUUUCGGAUCGUAAAGCUCUGUUGUAAGAGAAGAACGGGUGUGAGAGUGGAAAGUUCACACUGUGACGUUAUCUUACCAGAAAGGGACGGCUAACUACGUG